CUACGGGCGGCAGCAGUGAGGAAUUUUGCGCAAUGGGGGCAACCCUGACGCAGCAACGCCGCGUGAGUGAAGAAGGCCUUUGGGUCGUAAAGCUCUGUCGACAGGGAAGAAGUUAUAGAUAUCCAAUAGGUAUUUAUAUUGACGGUACCUGUAGAGGAAGCACCGGCUAACUCCGUGCCAGCAGCCGCGGUAAUACGGGGGGUGCAAGCGUUAUUCGGAAUUAUUGGGCGUAAAGGGCGCGUAGGCGGUCUUGUCGGUCAGAUGUGAAAGCCCGGGGCUCAACCCUGGACGUGCAUUUGAAACAGCAAGACUUGAGUACGGGAGAGGAAAGCGGAAUUCCUGGUGUAGAGGUGAAAUUCGUAGAUAUCAGGAGGAACACCGAUGGCGAAGGCAGCUUUCUGGACCGAUACUGACGCUGAGGCGCGAAGGCGUGGGUAGCGAACGGGAUUAGAUACCCGAGUAGUC
Molecule: ribosomal RNA, 465 nt
Filed under: uncultured bacterium
Lineage: Bacteria
Description: partial 16S ribosomal RNA
Rfam family: Bacterial small subunit ribosomal RNA
Source: RNAcentral